GAUGAACGCUGGCGGUGUGCCUAAUACAUGCAAGUCGAGCGAACAGACGAGGAGCUUACUCCUCCGACGUUAGCGGCGGACGGGUGAGUAACACGUGGAUAACCUACCUAUAAGACUGGGAUAACUUCGGGAAACCGGAGCUAAUACCGGAUAACAUGUUGAACCGCAUGGUUCAACAGUGAAAGACGGUCUUGCUGUCACUUAUAGAUGGAUCCGCGUCGCAUUAGCUAGUUGGUAAGGUAACGGCUUACCAAGGCAACGAUGCGUAGCCGACCUGAGAGGGUGAUCGGCCACACUGGAACUGAGACACGGUCCAGACUCCUACGGGAGGCAGCAGUAGGGAAUCUUCCGCAAUGGGCGAAAGCCUGACGGAGCAACGCCGCGUGAGUGAAGAAGGUCUUCGGAUCGUAAAACUCUGUUAUUAGGGAAGAACAAAUGUGUAAGUAACUAUGCACGUAUUGACGGUACCUAAUCAGAAAGCCACGGCUAACUACGUG
Molecule: ribosomal RNA, 497 nt
Filed under: uncultured bacterium
Lineage: Bacteria
Description: partial 16S ribosomal RNA
Rfam family: Bacterial small subunit ribosomal RNA
Source: RNAcentral